This 497-nucleotide ribosomal RNA is filed under the name uncultured bacterium. RNAcentral's name for it is "partial 16S ribosomal RNA". It matches the Rfam family "Bacterial small subunit ribosomal RNA", at positions 28 to 507 of the family's 1533-position model. The record is from RNAcentral.
GAUGAACGCUGGCGGCGUGCCUAAUACAUGCAAGUCGAGCGAACAGACGAGGAGCUUGCUCCUCUGACGUUAGCGGCGGACGGGUGAGUAACACGUGGAUAACCUACCUAUAAGACUGGGAUAACUUCGGGAAACCGGAGCCAAUACCGGAUAAUAUAUUGUACCGCAUGGUUCAAUAGUGAAAGACGGUUUUGCUGUCACUUAUAGAUGGAUCCGCGCCGCAUUAGCUAGUUGGUAAGGUAACGGCUUACCAAGGCAACGAUGCGUAGCCGACCUGAGAGGGUGAUCAGCCACACUGGAACUGAGACACGGUCCAGACUCCUACGGGAGGCAGCAGUAGGGAAUCUUGCGCAAUGGGCGAAAGCCUGACGGAGCAACGCCGCGUGAGUGAUGAAGGUCUUCGGAUCGUAAAGCUCUGUUAUUAGGGAAGAACAAAUGUGUAAGUAACUAUGCACGUCUUGACGGUACCUAAUCAGAAAGCCACGGCUAACUACGUG